AAAAAAAAAUUAAAAACAUUUUAGUUUUUAAAAUUGUAUAAUUGUAUUGGGAGAUUUGCAAAACUCCCCCCCUUUUACUACUCUUUUGCAACAAUACCCUUUUAUAUUGUUCAUUUUUAAAAAUAUCCCUUCCCUUGAACAGAAUGACCAAAUUACCCUCAUGUCAUAAGAACAUGUAAUUGGAAACUGAAAGUUUUGGCGACAAAAUUUAUUUUUCCCGCCAAAGAAAAAAAUUCCGCCAAACUUUUUUUCCCGCAAAAAAA
RNAcentral lists this small RNA (263 nucleotides) under Arabidopsis thaliana (thale cress). RNAcentral describes it as "ATSL278340". The record is from RNAcentral. Lineage: Eukaryota; Viridiplantae; Streptophyta; Magnoliopsida; Brassicales; Brassicaceae.